AAUGUGGCAAAAGGUCGCAAAGUUCAAGGGGGCCGAAUACUUUCGCAAGGCACUGUACUUCAUACAGCACCUGCAGUGGUAAAGAUCGUCAUGUCUCUCUUUGGUGGGUGCAUAAGUUUCACAAGAAGUAAGGUCCAGCUGAAUAAUGGAAAGAAGGCAGAAACCUGAACCAGGACGAGAGGUUCCACAUCUGAUGAUCCUAGGGGACCAGAAGGACCUCUCCCAGUGAUACCAGGAGAUCUAGUCUACGUUCGAGUGUUCCGAAGGAAGUGGGAUCAGCCGAGGAGAGAAGGACCCUACGAGGUGGCAAUAGCCACAAACACGGCCGUCUAAGUGAAAGGAAGCAAGACGUGGUAUCAUCUAAACCACUGCACCCGAGUCCCGACGGAGAGAAGGACACAACCAUACAGAGAUGAGGACACAGAGGAUGCUGAUUCACCAGGCGGGACCCCGGAGGGAGCAGGAGCAGCGGAAACGAUCAAAGCGCCGGGGAGGAAUCAAGAAAAUGGCAGACUAGAUACAACGAGUGCAUCAACUAAACGCACUCAGAAGAAGCACCAGGGGAAAAGAG
Molecule: non-coding RNA, 571 nt
Organism: Oncorhynchus mykiss (rainbow trout)
Lineage: Eukaryota; Metazoa; Chordata; Actinopteri; Salmoniformes; Salmonidae
Source: RefSeq, a predicted model, not a curated record